AUUGAACGCUGGCGGCAUGCCUUACACAUGCAAGUCGAACGGCAGCACGGGAGCAAUCCUGGUGGCGAGUGGCGAACGGGUGAGUAAUGUAUCGGAACGUGCCCAGUCGUGGGGGAGAACGUAGCGAAAGCUACGCUAAUACCGCAUACGAUCUAUGGAUGAAAGCGGGGGAUCGCAAGACCCCGCGCGAUUGGAGCGGCCGAUAUCAGAUUAGGUAGUUGGUGGGGUAAAGGCUCACCAAGCCGACGAUCUGUAGCUGGUCUGAGAGGACGACCAGCCACACUGGGACUGAGACACGGCCCAGACUCCUACGGGAGGCAGCAGUGGGGAAUUUUGGACAAUGGGCGCAAGCCUGAUCCAGCAAUGCCGCGUGCAGGAUGAAGGCCUUCGGGUUGUAAACUGCUUUUGUACGGAACGAAACGGUGAGCUCUAAUACAGUUUGCUAAUGACGGUACCGUAAGAAUAAGCACCGGCUAACUACGUGCCAGCCGCCGCGGUAA
Molecule: ribosomal RNA, 500 nt
Filed under: uncultured bacterium
Lineage: Bacteria
Description: partial 16S ribosomal RNA
Rfam family: Bacterial small subunit ribosomal RNA
Source: RNAcentral